RNAcentral lists this ribosomal RNA (497 nucleotides) under uncultured bacterium. RNAcentral describes it as "partial 16S ribosomal RNA". It matches the Rfam family "Bacterial small subunit ribosomal RNA", at positions 28 to 507 of the family's 1533-position model. The record is from RNAcentral.
GACGAACGCUGGCGGCGUGCCUAAUACAUGCAAGUCGAGCGAACAGAUAAGGAGCUUGCUCCUUUGACGUUAGCGGCGGACGGGUGAGUAACACGUGGAUAACCUACCUAUAAGACUGGGAUAACUUCGAGAAACGGGAGCUAAUACCGGAUAACAUCUUGAAACACAUGGUUCAAUAGUGAAAGACGGCUUUGCAGUACCUAAUAGAGGUCUCCGUGUCGAUUUAGCUAGUGGGUAAGGUAAGGGUUUACCAAGCGAAGGUAAAGAACCCACCCGGGAGGGGUGAUGGCCCAAUCUGGAACUGGACCCGGCUCCAGCCCCCUAGGGGGGGCGCCAUAGGGGAUUCUCCGGCAAUGGGGGAAGUCCUAACGGGGCAACCCCGCUGGAGUGAUGAAGGUCUUCGGAUCGUAAACCUCUGUUAUCAGGGAAGAACAAAGGUGUAAGUAACUGCUCACAUCUUGACGGUACCUGAUCAGAAAGCCACGGCUAACUACGUG